UGGGGAAUAUUGCACAAUGGGCGCAAGCCUGAUGCAGCCAUGCCGCGUGUAUGAAGAAGGCCUUCGGGUUGUAAAGUACUUUCAGCGGGGAGGAAUGGAGUAAAGUUAAUACCUUUGCUCAUUGACGUUACCCGCAGAAGAAGCACCGGCUAACUCCGUGCCAGCAGCCGCGGUAAUACGGAGGGUGCAAGCGUUAAUCGGAAUUACUGGGCGUAAAGCGCACGCAGGCGGUCUGUCAAGUCGGAUGUGAAAUCCCCGGGCUCAACCUGGGAACUGCAUUCGAAACUGGCAGGCUAGAGUCUUGUAGAGGGGGGUAGAAUUCCAGGUGUAGCGGUGAAAUGCGUAGAGAUCUGGAGGAAUACCGGUGGCGAAGGCGGCCCCCUGGACAAAGACUGACGCUCAGGUGCGAAAGCGUGGGGAGCAAACAGG
Molecule: ribosomal RNA, 429 nt
Filed under: Chloroflexota bacterium
Lineage: Bacteria; Bacillati; Chloroflexota
Description: Chloroflexi bacterium partial 16S ribosomal RNA
Rfam family: Bacterial small subunit ribosomal RNA
Source: RNAcentral